Molecule: ribosomal RNA, 287 nt
Filed under: uncultured bacterium
Lineage: Bacteria
Description: partial 16S ribosomal RNA
Rfam family: Bacterial small subunit ribosomal RNA
Source: RNAcentral
UUUACCAGACCCGGAAGGCGCGGGCCUUAGUGGCGGACGGGUGAGUAACGCGUGGGGAACCUGCCCCGUACCGGGGGAUAACACCUGGAAACAGGUGCUAAUACCGCAUAACAGAAGGGGACGCAUGUUUCUUUCUUGAAAACUCCGGUGGUACGGGAUGGACCCGCGUCUGAUUAGCUGGUUGGCGGGGUAACGGCCCACCAAGGCGACGAUCAGUAGCCGGCCUGAGAGGGCGGACGGCCACAUUGGGACUGAGACACGGCCCAAACUCCUACGGAAGGCAGCAG